Long non-coding RNA from Hypanus sabinus (Atlantic stingray), 604 nucleotides. RefSeq lists it as uncharacterized. The record is from RefSeq and is a predicted model, not a curated record. The transcript is spliced from 4 exons. Lineage: Eukaryota; Metazoa; Chordata; Chondrichthyes; Myliobatiformes; Dasyatidae.
CUCACAGAUAGGAGAGGUGCCCAUUUAAUCUAGAGCAGCCCUGAAGGGGCUGGAUAUAUUUCUCAAGAGUAAAACCAGCUCCGUCCAAACAUUGCACCAUCUUCUGUGCAGCAUCUGACAAAAUAUUUUGACUUACUUCAGGGUGAAGACUGGUUUCCAUGAUGGAGGCCCCCUGAGGCAGAAGCAGAGAUGGAUCACCCAUUUGAUACUUCGGGCUGAAUGAGGGACUUGGAGAUCCCUGAACUGAGGAGGCAGAUAAGCAUCAUGAUCUAUAUCAUGACAGACCUGGAGCGGUUGGCAGCAUGAUUACUUAUUUUUGAAAGAAGGAUCAACUCGCUCUCACUUUUUGAUGGCAGUGAAAGCCUGUCGGUACUCAAGUCAGGGGACCCGGAGAAGCGAUGCGGCAGGCUGCUGAUCUCCCACUCGCAUUGUUGCAGGAGCGAUCUCUCUCUCUCUCUGUCUUCCUUACUAGUGAGAAGGAGCCUGUCUGAGAUACCAAAGUGUUGGGUUACGGAUUGUAGUUUUUUUGCUGGACUUUAGAUCGAGGUCUCUGUUGGAGCUUUUGCUUUGCUUGUAUGGUAGGCAGAGGAGGAGGGGCUGGUGC